RNAcentral lists this microRNA (21 nucleotides) under Drosophila ananassae. RNAcentral's name for it is "Dan-Mir-969_3p (mature (co-guide))". The record is from RNAcentral. RNAcentral also lists the same sequence under 6 other names. Lineage: Eukaryota; Metazoa; Arthropoda; Insecta; Diptera; Drosophilidae.
AACUUGACACGUUGAGCUCGU